GUAAUAAUCAAACUCAUAACUUCAUUAAUGGAAAACAUCUCAGUUUACAAGUACAAGAAAGAUAAAGAAAAGCUUAGCCAAGUAAUGGUGAAGCCCUCUAAAAAUCUGCUAUGUCUUAUACUAGAUUAUUACAAGAUGAAGCCUCCAAGUGUUCCUGCAAAAUUUACUAGCUAGAGAGAGUUUGCUAUCAGAAAAUCAUCUACAUAUAUCCUCCUCUGACCUCCCCAAUGUCUCUGUAUAAAAGCUGGUCCAAAAACUCCUUUUUCCUGGUCAAAUAUUCCCCCCUUUGAUUCCCAAAUUUGAAGCUUGUUUAGAUAGUCAAUAACCAAUGUUUUUGACUUGAAAAUAAGCCACCUUUCUUGCCCUUUUUGUCUUCUGAAGCAUGUGCACCGACUUCCUUUGCAACUUAUAGCUGGAAAUUAGUAUGAGCACAAGAGAAAUGGCUGAGCAAAUUGCAGAUUUUCAGCUACAAAAUGCGACUACACAAAACGCGGCAUCAACCCACGUUUUGUCAACUCGUGUUUUCAACUAUGUGAAAUUGGCCUCGCUUCAACUGUGAUUUUCUCUAUGAUAGAGGCCGAGCUAGCUUUUGUACAAAACACAAAAUUGUAGGCCUUUGAGUUAGCUUCACAAUGCUUCAGGAAUCAUCCAAAUCAGAGUGUUGUAGACUGAGAUAUGAUCAAAAUACGGUCACCUAGUCAAACCCCUGUUUCAAUUUUCGUCCAUAGAGUGCAGCUUCUGUAUUUCGACUUUUUGUUCAUGAAAACAACCGAAUUGGAUUCCUAUGUCUUCAUACGAAAUCUAGAUCUCUUUCUUAGCUUUAAAAUGGUAUAAAUAUCACCUCAAUCCAAUAUGUGUAGCUCCAGAUAUAGCCAAAAUACGAAAAUGUGUCAGAGUUGUUUUCAUUUGCAUUUCUUCAAUUUACUUCAUUUCUUCUUUACCAGUUAAAUUCAUCACCAAUUAUCCACUUUUCACCUCAGUUGACAUCCUUUGGUGAUUGAAUCAUUAAUCCUGCAUGAAAAUGAAUUUUUUACCAUUAAGAUUAAUAGAAAUGCAAUGUUGGCCACUUUAACUUUAAAAUGUAUAUUUUUACCAAAACCCUAACUAUUUUAGUUAUAAACUUGAUUAAAUUACUGAAAUUUUACUAAUAAAUACACUUAAAAACAUGUAAAAUAUACUCUCAUCAAUGUUGCUCGCAUUAGAGCCACUUCAAUGUCAUUGAGCAUUCAUUUCAGUAUCAAGAGACACUCAUUUCACUGUCAUUGUACAUUCAUUUCAAUAUCAUUGUACAUUCUGCCAAUUCACCUCCUUAUGUCUUUCAAAACAGUAAACAAUUCCCUACAUUCAAUAAUCAGUUCAAUAAUCUCCCAACCUCAUGGUAAUACUCGAGUAUACUGAAAAAGUUACCCAAAUCUUUUGUCUUAUCUGACCAAGCUCUUUGCUAGCUCGAAUAGUCCGUUGAACAAAGGAUUUUGGGAUCCAGUUCAGCCGAUGUAGUAAAGUACACAUACAGCUUAUAUUCAUGCACAUUUACAGUAAUAUUUAGUCAAUUAUCAACCUUAAUGCUUAACUAAGCUGAGUGCGAUAAAAUACACUUUCGACUUAGAAGGCGAGGGACAAUUAAGAUACACUUUAUAAUGAAUCAUUUAGUAAUAAUUCAUGAUAAGUACAUUUGUCACAUAAUUUCACUUAGAUACACAUAAACAGUUAAACACAUAAAUUCGAAAAACACUCACCAAUUAUUCAAAUAAUUUACUCUUGAGCCUCGGAUUUGUUUCCUGGCUCGCGGCUAUUUCCUGAGAUAAAUAUAUAAUUCCAUGGUAAAUUUACAAUUUGUAGAUGUUCACCUAUUAUUUAAAUUAUUCGAAUUAGGUUUGACUUUAAAAUAUAAAAUAUAACAUAUUCAAUAUUUAUUCUACCUUAUUGUUUAAACUAUUAAAAUCAAGUUUGAUCUUAAAAUACAAAAUAUACGCAAUAUUUAUUCCCCAAUUUAUUUCAAGACUUAUUGACUUUAUUAUCUUAAAUCAAGAAAUAUACAUACUCUCCAAAUUAAUAAUUUAAAAAAUGUUUACAUUAGGAUUAAAUUAUUUUCUACUCAAGAUUCUAAGUUUAAAGCUUAGGAAUAUUCCAUUGGUUCCCUUUUUUAAAUUAGUUAAACUCUAAGUUAUUUGUAAAUUAAAUUUUAUUCCACUACACUCGUCCCUCAAAUUUAUAGAUUUUAACAUAUGUGUAAAGACAAUAUUAAGUGAUUAGAAGCCAAUUUAGGUAUAUAACUAUCAUGAGUUUUCCUCUCAUUUGCUUUAAUUUAACUCUACUCGUGGAACUAGAUAUAGUCGUUAAAUCUCAGACCAACCGUAGCUACCAUUUAUGAAAGCUUACAAGGUUGGAAAUUAGAAGAAAUGCUGGUUAAAAGUUGGUUUCUCACGGCCAGCAUCUUAGCAAAGUACAUUCGGGAACAAAAGGAAAGGCAACGAGAAAGGCAGCUUUGCCAUCUUCUGGUAUUCUGAUCAUAACUGGAGCUAUGGUUAUCGGAUUGAGGUGAAUUUUAUAGCGUUUCGAAGCUAAGACAUAGAACUACAUUUCUUAUGGAGACAUCGACACUCAGUUCUCAGUUCUCGCAUUUUCAAGGUAAAAACUGUACGGUCAGAAGCACCUUCUGUUUCACUCUCUCGGCUGAAGCUAAAAGAAUUUCAGCAUGGCUUAGCAGCUGCAUUUUUCCCUUUUCAUUCCUCCUCAGUUUUCUGUUCUAGAUUAUGUAAAAAGCAUAUUGAUUCAUCUUCAAGUUAACUUAAGCAAAACGGGGAAGUUUAUGCUCAAAACUCAAAAGGAUAGCUGACUAAAAUUCAGCUCUGCGCAAGGCUGCAAAACUGAUGUACCGCAGCUUGCCUCAGAGUUCUUUCACGUAUGGUUCUCUCCAUUUCACACUCAUUAACCUACGACUGACCCCUUAAACUGAAGAAGGAAACAAAUAAUCUGUUGCAUGCAUCCCAUAACGUUAUUAACCCAAGAAAUUUUGACAUCAGUUGCAAGUUCCAGCUCAACACUCAGUUUCUGCAAUUUUUCUGAGAUUUCACAGUUAUUGCCCGGCAUUUACUUCAGCUACAAGCUCUUCUCACUCUAGUUAUCAACCCUGCUCUAAGUUCUCAGGUAAGACAAGAAAAGAGCAUAUAGUUUGAGGUUCUAGCGGAAUAUUUCUCCCUACUUUCGGUUAACAAGCUGCAUGAUCAGUUUUUUUUUCCUCGGAUGGAGCUGAAAGGUAACCACUCCCUAAACAAGUUUUCCCUUCAAUCAAACUGAAUUUUUCUUAGCUACAUUCCAGCAUUCCACAGUAAUAUCCAAGUGUACUAGUUGUUUAGAAGGUUAUUGCUGUCACGUACCUCGUUCCUUCCUCCUAACGUUUGAAAAAAAAUGCAGAUCGCACGUUUGGUUUCCUGCUCCUAGCUUCGUCCCUCUAACUAUUGCACCAGCUCUCCCUUUUUUUCUCACGUUUGGCUCGCGGUGUUGAGGCUACCAGCUGAAGAAAUGAAGCGAGCCAGUGCCUCUCUCUCACUCUCACUGUCUCGGUUGCAGACUGGAGGCAAAGAGAAACCAGAAAUGUUUUCUUUUCCUCUCACUCGAUUAUGUAUGAGCUGAAUGGGUGUCCAAAUCACUCUCUCAGCUUUGCUCCUAGUGCGUGGUUGGUAAGAAAAGAAAAGAAAUGUUUUUUCU
Molecule: long non-coding RNA, 3708 nt
Filed under: Coffea arabica (coffee)
Lineage: Eukaryota; Viridiplantae; Streptophyta; Magnoliopsida; Gentianales; Rubiaceae
Description: long non-coding RNA (CARA_LNC001296)
Source: RNAcentral